Molecule: ribosomal RNA, 496 nt
Filed under: uncultured bacterium
Lineage: Bacteria
Description: partial 16S ribosomal RNA
Rfam family: Bacterial small subunit ribosomal RNA
Source: RNAcentral
GAUGAACGCUGGCGGCGUGCCUAAUACAUGCAAGUCGAGCGAACAGACGAGGAGCUUGCUCCUCUGACGUUAGCGGCGGACGGGUGAGUAACACGUGGAUAACCUACCUAUAAGACUGGGAUAACUUCGGGAAACCGGAGCUAAUACCGGAUAAUAUAUUGAACCGCAUGGUUCAAUAGUGAAAGACGGUUUUGCUGUCACUUAUAGAUGGAUCCGCGCCGCAUUAGCUAGUUGGUAAGGUAACGGCUUACCAAGGCAACGAUGCGUAGCCGACCUGAGAGGGUGAUCGGCCACACUGGAACUGAGACACGGUCCAGACUCCUACGGGAGGCAGCAGUAGGGAAUCUUCCGCAAUGGGCGAAAGCCUGACGGAGCAACGCCGCGUGAGUGAUGAAGGUCUGCGGAUCGUAAAACUCUGUUAUUAGGGAAGAACAAAUGUGUAAGUAACGAUGCACGUCUUGACGGUACCUAAUCAGAAAGCCACGGCGAACUACGU